This 372-nucleotide ribosomal RNA is filed under the name uncultured organism. RNAcentral describes it as "partial 16S ribosomal RNA". It matches the Rfam family "Bacterial small subunit ribosomal RNA", at positions 527 to 896 of the family's 1533-position model. The record is from RNAcentral.
GUAGGUGGCAAGCGUUGUCCGGAAUUAUUGGGCGUAAAGCGCGCGCAGGUGGUUCUUUAAGUCUGAUGUGAAAGCCCCGGGCUCAACCGGGGAGGGUCAUUGGAAACUGGGGAACUUGAGUGCAGGAGAGGAAAGUGGAAUUCCACGUGUAGCGGUGAAAUGCGUAGAUAUGUGGAGGAACACCAGUGGCGAAGGCGACUUUCUGGCCUGUAACUGACACUGAGGCGCGAAAGCGUGGGGAGCAAACAGGAUUAGAUACCCUGGUAGUCCACGCCGUAAACGAUGAGUGCUAAGUGUUGGGGGGUUUCCGCCCCUCAGUGCUGCAGCUAACGCAUUAAGCACUCCGCCUGGGGAGUACGGUCGCAAAGACUG